Molecule: unclassified non-coding RNA, 293 nt
Filed under: Hevea brasiliensis (rubber tree)
Lineage: Eukaryota; Viridiplantae; Streptophyta; Magnoliopsida; Malpighiales; Euphorbiaceae
Source: RNAcentral
GCUAGGAGAAUCAACGAUAAAUUGUCUCACUUCGAUGGUGUACGACUCCUUGCUCUUCUUAAUCCAGAGAUACCCACACUACUACACUAGACUUAGCACUCAUAGUUAGCAAAAGCUCCUUGUUCCUCUUAAUACACAGAUACACACACUUCUACACUGGACUUAACCAUAGUCAGCAAAAUUUCCAUAAGACAAAAUAAACCAGCACGUCAAAGGAUCUACUCAGGAAUCAUUUGCUCGUUGUCUGCAUCACCCUCAUCCUCUAUCUUCGGUUUUGACGGAGUCGGGCCAGA